Brienomyrus brachyistius is the source of this 738-nucleotide non-coding RNA. The record is from the annotation of a RefSeq genome assembly. NCBI's taxonomy places the organism in Eukaryota, Metazoa, Chordata, Actinopteri, Osteoglossiformes, Mormyridae.
AUGUCUGUCAUAGACCUUUAGUCUAAAAACAAGCAAAAAGACUCAAACGCAGAAAAAACCUGCCCUGCGAAUACGGCACCCAUGACGUCAGCAGUUUUCACCUCCGGAUUUCAGCUCGUUCACUGCACUUUUAAAACUUUGAAAAUAAAGCCGGGAAUGGAAUUAAGCAGAAUAAAACUGCAAUUAAACACAGGUAACAGCGCCCCCACCCUGACGGUCCUGCCCCCCUCCAGUGUGGAGGUGUCCAGCAAGAACAAGGCCACCCUGAUGUGCCUGGCCAACAGGGGCUUCCCCUCCGACUGGAAGCUGAGCUGGAAAGUGGACGGUAAAAGCAAAGUGGUGGAGACGAGCCGCGGGCUCCUGGAGAAGGACGGCCUGUCCAGCUGGAGCAGCAGCCUGAGCCUCACUGCGGACGAGUGGAAGAAGGCGGGCUCAGUGGUCUGUGAGGCCCAUCAGGGCUGCCAGGCUCCUGUCACUCAAACGCUGACGAGGGCCGACUGUUCAGAGUAGAUGAGCUCAGCGUCACCUGUGAUGAGCGGCUGAUUACUGUGUUUUUACUGUGCUGUGUUACGCGCUUCAGAUUUACUGAUUACAUAGAGAAAAUAACAUGCUUUGCUUGAUUCCUGAAUGAAAAUCAUUACUGAUGUUUUAUUAGUCUUUGUGUCUCCCUGUAUUAUCUUGUGUGUUUUAUACCUGAAUGCUGCAGAGAUAAAUAAAUAUUUCAUUCUGUCUGACAAA